This 2906-nucleotide ribosomal RNA is filed under the name Escherichia coli. RNAcentral describes it as "23S ribosomal RNA". It matches the Rfam family "Bacterial large subunit ribosomal RNA". The record is from RNAcentral. Lineage: Bacteria; Pseudomonadati; Pseudomonadota; Gammaproteobacteria; Enterobacterales; Enterobacteriaceae.
GGUUAAGCGACUAAGCGUACACGGUGGAUGCCCUGGCAGUCAGAGGCGAUGAAGGACGUGCUAAUCUGCGAUAAGCGUCGGUAAGGUGAUAUGAACCGUUAUAACCGGCGAUUUCCGAAUGGGGAAACCCAGUGUGUUUCGACACACUAUCAUUAACUGAAUCCAUAGGUUAAUGAGGCGAACCGGGGGAACUGAAACAUCUAAGUACCCCGAGGAAAAGAAAUCAACCGAGAUUCCCCCAGUAGCGGCGAGCGAACGGGGAGCAGCCCAGAGCCUGAAUCAGUGUGUGUGUUAGUGGAAGCGUCUGGAAAGGCGCGCGAUACAGGGUGACAGCCCCGUACACAAAAAUGCACAUGCUGUGAGCUCGAUGAGUAGGGCGGGACACGUGGUAUCCUGUCUGAAUAUGGGGGGACCAUCCUCCAAGGCUAAAUACUCCUGACUGACCGAUAGUGAACCAGUACCGUGAGGGAAAGGCGAAAAGAACCCCGGCGAGGGGAGUGAAAAAGAACCUGAAACCGUGUACGUACAAGCAGUGGGAGCACGCUUCGGCGUGUGACUGCGUACCUUUUGUAUAAUGGGUCAGCGACUUAUAUUCUGUAGCAAGGUUAACCGAAUAGGGGAGCCGAAGGGAAACCGAGUCUUAACUGGGCGUUAAGUUGCAGGGUAUAGACCCGAAACCCGGUGAUCUAGCCAUGGGCAGGUUGAAGGUUGGGUAACACUAACUGGAGGACCGAACCGACUAAUGUUGAAAAAUUAGCGGAUGACUUGUGGCUGGGGGUGAAAGGCCAAUCAAACCGGGAGAUAGCUGGUUCUCCCCGAAAGCUAUUUAGGUAGCGCCUCGUGAAUUCAUCUCCGGGGGUAGAGCACUGUUUCGGCAAGGGGGUCAUCCCGACUUACCAACCCGAUGCAAACUGCGAAUACCGGAGAAUGUUAUCACGGGAGACACACGGCGGGUGCUAACGUCCGUCGUGAAGAGGGAAACAACCCAGACCGCCAGCUAAGGUCCCAAAGUCAUGGUUAAGUGGGAAACGAUGUGGGAAGGCCCAGACAGCCAGGAUGUUGGCUUAGAAGCAGCCAUCAUUUAAAGAAAGCGUAAUAGCUCACUGGUCGAGUCGGCCUGCGCGGAAGAUGUAACGGGGCUAAACCAUGCACCGAAGCUGCGGCAGCGACGCUUAUGCGUUGUUGGGUAGGGGAGCGUUCUGUAAGCCUGUGAAGGUGUGCUGUGAGGCAUGCUGGAGGUAUCAGAAGUGCGAAUGCUGACAUAAGUAACGAUAAAGCGGGUGAAAAGCCCGCUCGCCGGAAGACCAAGGGUUCCUGUCCAACGUUAAUCGGGGCAGGGUGAGUCGACCCCUAAGGCGAGGCCGAAAGGCGUAGUCGAUGGGAAACAGGUUAAUAUUCCUGUACUUGGUGUUACUGCGAAGGGGGGACGGAGAAGGCUAUGUUGGCCGGGCGACGGUUGUCCCGGUUUAAGCGUGUAGGCUGGUUUUCCAGGCAAAUCCGGAAAAUCAAGGCUGAGGCGUGAUGACGAGGCACUACGGUGCUGAAGCAACAAAUGCCCUGCUUCCAGGAAAAGCCUCUAAGCAUCAGGUAACAUCAAAUCGUACCCCAAACCGACACAGGUGGUCAGGUAGAGAAUACCAAGGCGCUUGAGAGAACUCGGGUGAAGGAACUAGGCAAAAUGGUGCCGUAACUUCGGGAGAAGGCACGCUGAUAUGUAGGUGAGGUCCCUCGCGGAUGGAGCUGAAAUCAGUCGAAGAUACCAGCUGGCUGCAACUGUUUAUUAAAAACACAGCACUGUGCAAACACGAAAGUGGACGUAUACGGUGUGACGCCUGCCCGGUGCCGGAAGGUUAAUUGAUGGGGUUAGCGGUAACGCGAAGCUCUUGAUCGAAGCCCCGGUAAACGGCGGCCGUAACUAUAACGGUCCUAAGGUAGCGAAAUUCCUUGUCGGGUAAGUUCCGACCUGCACGAAUGGCGUAAUGAUGGCCAGGCUGUCUCCACCCGAGACUCAGUGAAAUUGAACUCGCUGUGAAGAUGCAGUGUACCCGCGGCAAGACGGAAAGACCCCGUGAACCUUUACUAUAGCUUGACACUGAACAUUGAGCCUUGAUGUGUAGGAUAGGUGGGAGGCUUUGAAGUGUGGACGCCAGUCUGCAUGGAGCCGACCUUGAAAUACCACCCUUUAAUGUUUGAUGUUCUAACGUUGACCCGUAAUCCGGGUUGCGGACAGUGUCUGGUGGGUAGUUUGACUGGGGCGGUCUCCUCCUAAAGAGUAACGGAGGAGCACGAAGGUUGGCUAAUCCUGGUCGGACAUCAGGAGGUUAGUGCAAUGGCAUAAGCCAGCUUGACUGCGAGCGUGACGGCGCGAGCAGGUGCGAAAGCAGGUCAUAGUGAUCCGGUGGUUCUGAAUGGAAGGGCCAUCGCUCAACGGAUAAAAGGUACUCCGGGGAUAACAGGCUGAUACCGCCCAAGAGUUCAUAUCGACGGCGGUGUUUGGCACCUCGAUGUCGGCUCAUCACAUCCUGGGGCUGAAGUAGGUCCCAAGGGUAUGGCUGUUCGCCAUUUAAAGUGGUACGCGAGCUGGGUUUAGAACGUCGUGAGACAGUUCGGUCCCUAUCUGCCGUGGGCGCUGGAGAACUGAGGGGGGCUGCUCCUAGUACGAGAGGACCGGAGUGGACGCAUCACUGGUGUUCGGGUUGUCAUGCCAAUGGCACUGCCCGGUAGCUAAAUGCGGAAGAGAUAAGUGCUGAAAGCAUCUAAGCACGAAACUUGCCCCGAGAUGAGUUCUCCCUGACUCCUUGAGAGUCCUGAAGGAACGUUGAAGACGACGACGUUGAUAGGCCGGGUGUGUAAGCGCAGCGAUGCGUUGAGCUAACCGGUACUAAUGAACCGUGAGGCUUAACCUU